Molecule: ribosomal RNA, 476 nt
Filed under: uncultured bacterium
Lineage: Bacteria
Description: bacterial SSU rRNA
Rfam family: Bacterial small subunit ribosomal RNA
Source: RNAcentral
GAGUUUGAUCAUGGCUCAGAACGAACGCUGGCGGCAUGCCUAACACAUGCAAGUCGAACGAGACCUUCGGGUCUAGUGGCGCACGGGUGCGUAACGCGUGGGAACCUGCCCUAAGGUUCGGAAUAACUCCCCGAAAGGGGUGCUAAUACCGGAUAAUGUCUUUGGACCAAAGAUUUAUCGCCUUUGGAUGGGCCCGCGUAGGAUUAGCUAGUUGGUAGGGUAACGGCCUACCAAGGCGACGAUCCUUAGCUGGUCUUAGAGGAUGAUCAGCCACACUGGGACUGAGACACGGCCCAGACUCCUACGGGAGGCAGCAGUGGGGAAUAUUGGACAAUGGGCGAAAGCCUGAUCCAGCAAUGCCGCGUGAGUGAUGAAGGCCUUAGGGUUGUAAAGCUCUUUUACCCGGGAUGAUAAUGACAGUACCGGGAGAAUAAGCCCCGGCUAACUCCGUGCCAGCAGCCGCGGUAAUACGGAGG